Long non-coding RNA from Bufo gargarizans (Asiatic toad), 1286 nucleotides. RefSeq lists it as uncharacterized. Lineage: Eukaryota; Metazoa; Chordata; Amphibia; Anura; Bufonidae. The transcript has 3 exons. The record is from RefSeq and is a predicted model, not a curated record.
CCUGGGUGUAUGUUGCUGUUCACAUUCUUCCAGACUACCUGUGCAUGACCUCUGACUUCCUCAAUCCAUCUCUAGAGACUGCCUGUGGGAAACUUCUAUGCGGAACAGUUUGUCUCGUGUUGGACCUCGGAUCAGACCCUGGAAAUGUCUCGUCCCUAGGGAUCAACACUACUAGAUCCGAAACGCGUAGACAUGGACUGUAUUUUUGGUUUUUAACGCACUGAAAUAAUAAAGUUGCCACGAUCAUUUGGAAGCUGGACUCUUCUUCUGCUUUAUUUGGAUGUCUGCCCUGACACCUAGGCUCCCGUCGUUGUCCAUGCUUCCUCUCAUAUUGCAGCCAGGUAUGUGGAGCAGAAUGUCUGAAGUUCCCAGUAUUAUCGAAAAUACAAAGAUAUUUCCAGCUUUCUAAAAAAUAGGCCUAGGGAAAUAAUUGUCCACAUAAUGCAGCGAAUGAACAGCACAUUUGAUCAAACAGAUAUUUCCUGUGUGGACAGUGAAAAGGGACUUUUCAAUGUUAACAGUGAAACCAACAAGCCAAAAAGAGACAUCGUCAGUUUAGGUGGUACUACUCCAUUCUGCACGUGCAGUGAUUGGGGAAAUUCUUUGCUUCCCUGCAAGCACAUUUGCAGCAUUUUUAAGAAUAUCGAUUAUUGGGGAUGGAGUAGACUGAGUCAGUCCUAUACUAAAAAUCCUCUCUUUCUGCGGGGUGUGCAAUGUUUUGGUAAGAAAAUAAAGGAAGACACAUCGGAGGGACACUAUGAUGUGCCAGCGUUGCAGCUGCCCCCCGCUGAAGAAAUAGAAGACCUGAUGGCCCGUAGAAGGGCCUUCCAAACAAAAAUGAUUAGCAAUUGUAAUCAACUUGUAAAAAAUAUUGUUGAUUCCAUUUUUUGGGAUAAAAGGUAUAAGCAGUUUACGUAUUGUAGAGGGAGACCUUGAAGAGAUGGCUUCAAAAGUAAAAGCUCCCAUACCCAAAGAAGAAAGUCUACUCUUAAUGCAGUCACCAAAGAGAAAAUCAGACACAUCUAACGUAUUUGAAUGGCAAACCAAAACAUUUGAAUGGCAAACCAAAGCAUCCAGCCUCACAAAGAGUUGGCACAAAAGCAGAACUUCUUAUGGAAGAUGUAUGGGUGAUCAAAGAGGAGGACUCAUUCCGAAGUGCAUUGGACUUUCCCCACAGAGAGGAAAAUGACACAUGGGUGUCAUUGCAUGGAAUUAGGCUUACUAUUCUAGAUAAGUCAUUCUUUCUGCCCAAGGGGCGGCGUUUCAGAUUCACUUGCGCCCAGCCA